This 362-nucleotide long non-coding RNA is filed under the name Linum usitatissimum (flax). RNAcentral describes it as "long non-coding RNA (LUSI_LNC002874)". The record is from RNAcentral. Lineage: Eukaryota; Viridiplantae; Streptophyta; Magnoliopsida; Malpighiales; Linaceae.
CAGAAACUACAAGUGUUGAAGAACAAUUGACUUUUAAUAGGAUAAUAGGAGUAUUAUUAGGAUUGCCAAAUUAGUGCUACUUAGGCUAUGUGCAAUUUAGAAGUCUAAAGUACACCUUUUAAAAGUCAUAUUUUUGCCUUUGCUCUCACAGAAAACAGUGGUCAACGGUUUCCAUUCUUUGUUGUUGCCCAGUUGCUGUCAUGAUGCAGACAAAUUUCGAAAAUUCAGAAAUCAACUUCCUGUUCUGCAGAAGCAGAGCUCGUUCACAAGUCUUCCUCUUUCAAUAACAGCUCACUCCUGACUCCACCACCGCCAGUCCGUCCCCACCGCUGAACCAUCGCAAAUGAUGACAAACUACUCUC